This 214-nucleotide long non-coding RNA is filed under the name Elaeis guineensis (African oil palm). RNAcentral describes it as "long non-coding RNA (EGUI_LNC060200)". Lineage: Eukaryota; Viridiplantae; Streptophyta; Magnoliopsida; Arecales; Arecaceae. The record is from RNAcentral.
UAUUUUUCAUCGAUUAAAUAAAGUACCACCACUCAAGAGUUUCAUAAAGAAGUUCUAGACUAGACACACCUUUAAAAAAAAUUAAUGAGGAAUAAAAUCAAGUAAACAAAGCAAAUCUAGCUUAGAAAGGAAGUUAAAGAAGAAAGGCUGGUAAACAACUCUUGGCAUGCUUGGCACGCAAAUUGAGCCGACCUAGUCCGAAAUUGAGCCAACC